CUCCUCCUCCUCUAGCUGCUGUGUCCUCCAUCACUCCAUUUCCUUUGAUUCUGUUUCUCCUUGAGGACGGAUUCAGGCCUUCGUGCAGAGAAGAUCUUCUGGUUUCUCUUCAUCCUUCUUUGAAAAGAAGACAAGGUGAGCAAGGAUUUCGAGGCAACAUAAAGAAGAAACCCCAGGAAAACCUGCCGUACUCCUCGACCCCUUGAUCCCAUUCCCACAUGGAAGCAAAAGCCAAAGGAGCAUCGAAAUCUGCCUCAAAAGCAGAGAAGAAGGAGGCAGUGCCACCGCCAAAACCAGACCCCGUCUCUGCUGAACCUGCAGAGCCUGAGAAUCCAGCGGAAGAUGGAGCAACCAACCAACAAGGGGAGGCGGAGUCUGCAGGAAGUAGCUGUGAAGCCUUAGAAAGUUUAAAGCCUUUCCUGAUUGGAGGAGCAGUCAUUGCCCUUGGAGCUGUAUUGGUGGGCGUAAUCUUAUUAGCCAAGAAAAACUGACCCAAAGCCUAAGAUUGGUUGUUAAACAGUGGAACUGAUUAAUUCACAAACUAUUAAAGUUUAUAUAAAGGGGUGGGGAGUCACUAGCGGAGUGAACAUAUGUCCUCUUUGUCCUGAACAUGUGCUGGCCAGGAUUUCCAAAUUGCCAAAAAUUUCCGGGUUUUGGCUUUGAUUUUGACUGAAUGCAGCAUGCAGUCCGACCAAUCAUGGCCCACGAGAAGUUGGGAUCUAAACAGAACGGCCAAAGCAAUGCAAAUUCAGAUAGAUACAAUGUAUGAAGACUAAAGAGACUGCUUCAACAGAAAAACAAAGUCAAAACCCGGGAAUUUUAAGCAAUGUAGAAAUCCUGACCAGGACAUGUGGUGGAAAACGAGAACGUGUGGUCACUCUACACACUAGGCAUCUUAAUUUUAUGCUGUACUUUAAUUUCAGUACUUGUGGUGACAUUCCUGCCAGCUAUUAAAGCAAGCUAGAGAUGCAUUUAGACCAAGCACUUUUCAUAUAACAUUCAACCUAGCUGUAGCCAAUGCACAUUUCCACCAAACUUUCCUCCAAGUCACUCUUCCUGCUGGUUGACACCUAAAACACCCUCAUCCGUGCCAUAAUGCUGAGAUUAAACCAAUUAUCCAAAAAAUAUUACAGUUAAUUUUCAAGCUGGACUUAAACCCAUAAGUGCCAACUGUAAGAUACAAUAACGUUAAGAUGCACGAGUCAAGGUUAAAAAUACAGAAUUUUUCUUGAUGUCAAUAAAAGCAAUUGGUUUCAUACUUAAAUGCUUGUGCAAAUCCAUAUGUACAUAUCAAGCCACUGACAUCUAUUACAGUUAGGCCUGUAUUGUUGAAAGGUGUAGAAAUGUAAAGAAAAUCUAAAUUAUUUCAAAUAUAAUAUAGGUUCAUUAUGUAUUUGACAUCAGACAUCGAACUAACACAGGUCAUUCAAUAAUUCAAUAAUCUUGCCUGUGAAUUGCAUACUGUCGAGCAACUGUGACAUUUCAAGAUCUUAGUUUCUUGUUUGAACGAUGUUGACGAUUUUCUGAAGUGGGCCAAUGGAAAUAGGUGUGUGAUGCAACAUAGAUGCAACGUAGAUUAUGACGGCUCUCGGCCAAUAGCUUCAAUUUCGCAGUUACACUAUGAUGAGCGCUACACACUACAGAAACAAUCCCUAAAUGCAUGCAGACACAAACAAUAAACACUCACACGUCACAUGACAUACUAUUACAGAAAAUGAAUUUUUCUUUAAAGUGCGUAUAUAAUGCAAUAAUUCAAAUAGAAUUCUGUAUUUAAAAGAAAGAAGAUUGUGUAUUAGUUGUGUUACUGAGAGUAAAGAUGAGGCUGAGGAUGUGGCAACAUGGUGGUUGUCUUGGUGAUGAUAAUGAUGAUGAUGAUUAUGAUUUUAUUUGUUUGUUCUAAUGAAGUUUACUUGUUCCCCUAAUGUUGCCUCUUUCCUCCUGCCAUAUGUAUUUAUUUUGCACACAACCUUGCUUGCUGUAUUUCCGCUGUUCCUCGUGUGAAUUAAAACAAGAUGGCUCCCUUGUGGCUUGAUGACCUUAUUAAAGGACAAUGAAGCAUA
Long non-coding RNA from Carassius auratus (goldfish), 2060 nucleotides. RefSeq lists it as uncharacterized. NCBI's taxonomy places the organism in Eukaryota, Metazoa, Chordata, Actinopteri, Cypriniformes, Cyprinidae. The transcript is spliced from 2 exons. The record is from RefSeq and is a predicted model, not a curated record.